GACGAACGCUGGCGGCGUGCUUAACACAUGCAAGUCGAACGGAAAGGCCCCUUUGGGGGUCCUCGAGUGGCGAACGGGUGAGUAACACGUGAGUAACCUGCCCUUGACUUCGGGAUAACUUCAGGAAACUGGGGCUAAUACCGGAUAGGAAUCCUUGCUGCAUGGUGGGGGUUGGAAAGCUUCGGCGGUUUUGGAUGGACUCGCGGCUUAUCGGCUUGUUGGUGGGGUAGUGGCUUACCAAGGCUUUGACGGGUAGCCGGCCUGAGAGGGCGACCGGCCACAUUGGGACUGAGAUACGGCCCAGACUCCUACGGGAGGCAGCAGUGGGGAAUAUUGCACAAUGGGCGGAAGCCUGAUGCAGCAACGCCGCGUGCGGGAUGACGGCCUUCGGGUUGAAAACCGGUUUCAGCAGGGGCGAAGCUUGUGGUGACGGUACCUGCAGAAGAAGCACCGGCUAACUACGUG
Molecule: ribosomal RNA, 465 nt
Filed under: uncultured bacterium
Lineage: Bacteria
Description: partial 16S ribosomal RNA
Rfam family: Bacterial small subunit ribosomal RNA
Source: RNAcentral